Molecule: ribosomal RNA, 161 nt
Filed under: bacterium 052308
Lineage: Bacteria
Description: partial 16S rRNA
Rfam family: Bacterial small subunit ribosomal RNA
Source: RNAcentral
UGGGGAAUAUUGGACAAUGGGCGAAAGCCUGAUCCAGCCAUGCCGCGUGUGUGAAGAAGGCCUUUUGGUUGUAAAGCACUUUAAGCGAGGAGGAGGCUACCGAGAUUAAUACUCUUGGAUAGUGGACGUUACUCGCAGAAUAAGCACCGGCUAACUCUGUG